Molecule: ribosomal RNA, 1369 nt
Filed under: metagenome
Description: bacterial LSU rRNA
Rfam family: Bacterial large subunit ribosomal RNA
Source: RNAcentral
UGUCAUGUUGAACUGAGAGCUGAUGACGCAAGUCUAGUUGAGCCAUGCUUACAAGAAAAGCCGCUAAGUGAUGAAGCAAUGUUGACCGUACCGCAAACCGACACAGGUGGGCUGGUAGAAUAUACUGAGGCGUUUGAGAGAUACCAGGCAAAGGAACUCUGCAAAAUACUACCGUAACUUCGGGAGAAGGUAGGCUCGUAAUCGUGAAGGUUGCACAACUGGAGCGAAGAUGAGUGGCACAGAAUGGGACUAGCGACUGUUUAUCAAAAACACAGGACUCUGCGAAAUUGUAAGAUGACGUAUAGGGUCUGACGCCUGCCCGGUGCUGGAAGGUUAAAAGGAGGAGUCAGGGCAACUGAAGCUCCGAAUUGAAGCCCCAGUAAACGGCGGCCGUAACAAUAACGGUCCUAAGGUAGCGAAAUUCCUUGUCGGGUAAGUUCCGACCUGCACGAAGGGCGUAACGACUGGUCCGCUGUCUCUGCCUGGUACUCAGCGAAAUUGAACAGGGGGUGAAAAUGCCCCCCACCCGCGACAGGACGGAAAGACCCCGUGAACCUUUACUGCAACUUGGCAUUGGGUUUUUGGAUUUAUUGUGUAGGAUAGGUGGAAGACUGAGAGCCUAGGGUGCAAGCCCUGGGGGAGUCGCCGUUGAAAUACCACCCUGUAAAUCUGGGAAUUCUAACCAUGGUCACUGGAAGCGUGACUUGGGACAGUGUCUGGUGGGCAGUUUGACUGGGGCGGUCGCCUCCCAAAGAGUAACGGAGGCGCGCAAAGGUUACCUCAGGCCGGAUGGAAACCGGCUGUAGAGCGUAAGGGCAGAAGGUAGCCUGACUGAAAGACCGACGGGUCGAACAGACACGAAAGUGGGUCCUAGUGACCCGGUGGCACCGCAUGGAAGGGCCAUCGCUCAACGGAUAAAAGGUACUCCGGGGAUAACAGGCUGAUCUAAUCCAAGAGUUCACAUCGACGAUUAGGUUUGGCACCUCGAUGUCGGCUCAUCACAUCCUGGGGCUGGAGCAGGUCCCAAGGGUUUGGCUGUUCGCCAAUUAAAGUGGUACGCGAGCUGGGUUCAGAACGUCAUGAGACAGUUCGGUCCCUAUCCGUCGUGGGCGUAGAAGAGUUGAGGGAAACUGACCUUAGUACGAGAGGACCGGGUUGGACGAACCGCUGGUGUACCAGUUGUCAUGCCAAUGGCACAGCUGGGUAGCUAUGUUCGGACGGGAUAACCGCUGAAAGCAUCUAAGCGGGAAGCCCAUCCCAAGAUGAGCUCUUUUGGACGCAAGUCCACAAGGCACUUGGAGACUAUGAGUUUGAUAGGGUGGAGGUGUAAGCGCUGUGAGGCGUUGAGCUGACCACUACUAAUCGCCUC